UAGAUGUGUUAGACCAAAUGGGG
This 23-nucleotide non-coding RNA is filed under the name Cricetulus griseus (Chinese hamster). The record is from RNAcentral. Lineage: Eukaryota; Metazoa; Chordata; Mammalia; Rodentia; Cricetidae.